RNAcentral lists this ribosomal RNA (140 nucleotides) under uncultured eukaryote. RNAcentral's name for it is "partial 18S ribosomal RNA". It matches the Rfam family "Eukaryotic small subunit ribosomal RNA", at positions 1299 to 1458 of the family's 1831-position model. The record is from RNAcentral.
UGGUGGAGUGAUUUGUCUGGUUAAUUCCGUUAACGAACGAGACCUUAGCCUGCUAAAUAGCGAACUGAUAUUUAACUAUUAGUCUUCGCUUCUUAGAGGGACUUUGUAUGUUUAAUACAGGGAAGAUUGAGGCAAUAACA